AGGUCGAGGCCAGCAUCGGUUUCCGUAGGGGGAUAAAAACUUUAGGAAUGUGGCUCUUCGGAGUGUUAUAGCCUAUUGUAUAAUACCCUUAUGGGGACCGAGGUACGCGCUCUGCAAGGAUGCUGGCGUAAUGGUCAUCAACGA
RNAcentral lists this ribosomal RNA (144 nucleotides) under Dactylaria sp. RNAcentral describes it as "partial large subunit ribosomal RNA". Lineage: Eukaryota; Fungi; Ascomycota; Leotiomycetes; Helotiales. The record is from RNAcentral.